AUGGUCCUAGAGGAAGAUUUGUCCACAGUAACAUUGCUUUGGCCCUUUGGUCUGCAGAGAUUCAGGGCAGCAGACCAUCUCCCAUGGUCUGAUCUCUUCCCAGUGUUCCACAGUGCCCUUGUGUUCCUACAGCACAUAUGUGGAUACCCAGAGAAGGGCUUUCAUCUCAGCGAUCUGUGUUGCUUAGCAGUGGCCAGCCACAUACAGCAAAUGGAGGCAAGAAAAGGGAAAACAUUUCAUAAGACACGAUCCCCUUCUUCAGAAUUUCAAAGAGCUGAGCUGAUGCUUUGGGAAUGACCUGAUCUCUUUGCUCAUCUGUGCCAUAUGGAGAAACCAGCAUUCUCAGGAGUGUGAUACCAGUUCCUCAUUCUGCCAUAGGUUCCAUUUUUAAGAUCAAAACAGCCCUUGUCCCCCCACAGCAGAGCAGGCACCCCCCUACUAGGAACGCUCAGUGGGGCUGUGACCAUCUCACCAAGGCACCAGAGGAGUCUGGGGAGCUAAGACACGCA
Molecule: long non-coding RNA, 509 nt
Filed under: Coturnix japonica (Japanese quail)
Lineage: Eukaryota; Metazoa; Chordata; Aves; Galliformes; Phasianidae
Description: lncRNA (ENSCJPG00005003716.1)
Source: RNAcentral